Molecule: ribosomal RNA, 497 nt
Filed under: uncultured bacterium
Lineage: Bacteria
Description: partial 16S ribosomal RNA
Rfam family: Bacterial small subunit ribosomal RNA
Source: RNAcentral
GAUGAACGCUGGCGGCGUGCCUAAUACAUGCAAGUCGAGCGAACAGACGCGGAGCUUGCUCCUCUGACGUUAGCGGCGGACGGGUGAGUAACACGUGGAUAACCUACCUAUAUGACUGGGAUAUUUUCGGAAAAGCGGAGAUUAUACCGGAUAAUAUAUUGAACCGCAUGGGGUGAUAGUAAAAUUCGGUUUUGCUGGCAGUUAUAGAUGGAUCCGCGCCGGAUGAGCUAGUUGGUACGUUAACGGCUUACGAAGGCAACGAUGCGUAGCCGAUCUGAGAGGGUGAUCGGCCACACGGGAACUGAGACACGCACCAGACUCCUACGGGACGCAGCAGUAUCGUAUCGUCGGCAGAGGUCGAAAGCAUUGCGGAACAAGGCCGCGUCUGUUGUAAAGGCCUCCGGAUCGUGAAACUCUGUUAUUAGUGAAGAACCAAUGUGUAAUUAAAUAUACACGGCUUGACGGUACCUAGUCAGAAAGCAACGGCUAACUACGUG